GACGAACGCUGGCGGCGUGCUUAACACAUGCAAGUCGAACGGAAAGGCCCUGCUUUUGUGGGGUGCUCGAGUGGCGAACGGGUGAGUAACACGUGAGUAACCUGCUCUUGACUUUGGGAUAACUUCAGGAAACUGGGGCUAAUACCGGAUAGGAGCUCCUGCUGCAUGGUGGGGGUUGGAAAGUUUCGGCGGUUGGGGAUGGACUCGCGGCUUAUCAGCUUGUUGGUGGGGUAGUGGCUUACCAAGGCUUUGACGGGUAGCCGGCCUGAGAGGGUGACCGGCCACAUUGGGACUGAGAUACGGCCCAGACUCCUACGGGAGGCAGCAGUGAGGAAUAUUGCACAAUGGGCGGAAGCCUGAUGCAGCAACGCCGCGUGCGGGAUGACGGCCUUCGGGUUGUAAACCGCUUUCGCCUGUGACGAAGCGUGAGUGACGGUAAUGGGGAAAGAAGCACCGGCUAACUACGU
Molecule: ribosomal RNA, 467 nt
Filed under: uncultured bacterium
Lineage: Bacteria
Description: partial 16S ribosomal RNA
Rfam family: Bacterial small subunit ribosomal RNA
Source: RNAcentral